AUGAACGCUGGCGGCGUGCCUAAUACAUGCAAGUCGAGCGAACAGACGAGGAGCUUGCUCCUCUGACGUUAGCGGCGGACGGGUGAGUAACACGUGGAUAACCUACCUAUAAGACUGGGAUAACUUCGGGAAACCGGAGCUAAUACCGGAUAAUAUAUUUAACCGCAUGGGUCAAUAGUGAAAGACGGUUUUGCUGUCACUUAUAGAUUGAUCCGCGCCGCAUUAGCUAGUUGGUAAGGUAACGGCUUACCAAGGCAACGAUGCGUAGCCGACCUGAGAGGGUGAUCGGCCACACUGGAACUGAGACACGGUCCAGACUCCUACGGGAGGCAGCAGUAGGGAAUCUUCCGCAAUGGGCGAAAGCCUGACGGAGCAACGCCGCGUGAGUGAUGAAGGUCUUCGGAUCGUAAAACUCUGUUAUUAGGGAAGAACAAAUGUGUAAGUAACUAUGCACGUCUUGACGGUACCUAAUCAGAAAGCCACGGCUAACUACGUG
RNAcentral lists this ribosomal RNA (496 nucleotides) under uncultured bacterium. RNAcentral's name for it is "partial 16S ribosomal RNA". It matches the Rfam family "Bacterial small subunit ribosomal RNA", at positions 29 to 507 of the family's 1533-position model. The record is from RNAcentral.